GAUGAACGCUGACAGAAUGCUUAACACAUGCAAGUCAUUGGCGAAGCUGCGCUUGCGCAGUCUAGCCAAGGCGGACGGGUGAGUAACGCGUAAGGAACUUGCCCUGCAGACAGGGAUAACAGACGGAAACGACUGAUAACACCUGGUAUUGUCAGGCUGGCGCAUGCCGGCCUGAUGAAAGGAGACGCUGCAGGAGAGCCUUGCGUCCUAUUAGCUAGUUGGUGGGGUAACGGCCCACCAAGGCGAUGAUAGGUAGCCGGCCUGAGAGGGUGAACGGCCACAAGGGGACUGAGAUACGGCCCUUACUCCUACGGGAGGCAGCAGUGGGGAAUAUUGGACAAGGGGGGCAACCCUGAUCCAGCAAUUCUGUGUGCACGAAGAAGGUUUUCGGAUUGUAAAGUGCUUUCAGAAGGGAAGAAGAAAGUGACGGUACCUGCAGAAGAAGCGACGGCUAAAUACGUG
RNAcentral lists this ribosomal RNA (462 nucleotides) under uncultured bacterium. Its description in RNAcentral is "partial 16S ribosomal RNA". It matches the Rfam family "Bacterial small subunit ribosomal RNA", at positions 28 to 507 of the family's 1533-position model. The record is from RNAcentral.